GGGUCAGUAGGUUGGUCGUGCCACCGGUACGUACUGGUCUCACUGACUCCUCCUUCCUGAAGAACCGUAAUGCCAUUAAUUUGGUGUUGCGGGGAAACAGGACUGUUACUUUGAAAAAAUUAGAGUGUUUAGAGCAAGCUAACGCUUGAAUACAUUAGCAUGGAAUAAUGAAAUAGGACGAUCGAUCCUAUUUUGUUGGUUUCUAGGAUUGACGUA
RNAcentral lists this ribosomal RNA (216 nucleotides) under Glomeromycotina sp. Its description in RNAcentral is "partial small subunit ribosomal RNA". The stretch from base 75 to 216 matches the Rfam family "Eukaryotic small subunit ribosomal RNA", at positions 721 to 864 of the family's 1831-position model. The record is from RNAcentral. Lineage: Eukaryota; Fungi; Glomeromycota.